RNAcentral lists this long non-coding RNA (940 nucleotides) under Scleropages formosus (Asian bonytongue). RNAcentral's name for it is "lncRNA (ENSSFOG00015031591.1)". The record is from RNAcentral. Lineage: Eukaryota; Metazoa; Chordata; Actinopteri; Osteoglossiformes; Osteoglossidae.
GUUGUGAUGAUAAGUUCCCAUCCGAUGACUGUUUGGAGAAGGACCGAAAAGCUACCAUGUCUCUGCAUCCUCGGCACCAUGGUCUGAGUUCAACAGAGAUUCUGUGCCUCAUCCUGAACGUGUUCUUGCUCUUGCACCAAGGAAAAUUGUCAGCGAUCUCUGUGAUCCAGGAGCCCAGUGUCAUUGUGUCUGAAAUAGAAAAGAACAUCACGCUGAACUGCCUGUUCACACACACACCUGAGCAGAAGUGGGAAGACAACAGGAAGUUCCACUGCAUGCUGUCAUAUGAAAAAUCAGGGCAUGGUGCUAGGACCAGAGGGAAAGGAGUCAAACUUCUACUCCACGGGCCUAUGAUGUUCAAUGUUUCCUCUGAGUCAGAGAAUGAUCUGCUCUGCAACAUCACAGUAUCCUCUAACAGUGGUUUUCAUCUGACUGUGCUCUGCAAUGGGGUGGAGGUGGCCAAAAGUCAGAGCGAAAUCCGUGACAAAUUUACAGUGCUGUCAGCUCUUGUUCAUGAGCACAUGGAGUGCGAAUGCUGCCUGAACCUGGACUCCACCGUGGUCUUGUCUCGGUCUUACAUCCGGAAGUCUAAAGAGGACCAGAGGGCAGAUCUCCCAGAACCAGUGUUCCUCUAUGCUGCCAUCCUCUCAAUCCCCUUCAGCAUCACUCUCAUUAUGGUCAUAGUUUUCCCCAUUUUCGGGAAUAGAAAAAGCAAACAAAGCAAAAGAAAACCUUAAAAGUUUAAAAUGUAUCCCUCUGCAGGUCGAUUGACGUAGCUGUGGGUUUAUAGUGUCCUGGAUGGUUACGUGAUGUAACUGUGAAACAAUGUAUAGAGGGCUGUCAUUUAGCAGGAUCAUCUGUGCAUUUAACAAAAAGUUAAGGCUGAACGAAUACUUUCUCUCCCUGUCUCAUCAUUUCUUUCAGUGCAGGAAUAUAGCUG